Molecule: ribosomal RNA, 255 nt
Filed under: unidentified marine eubacterium
Lineage: Bacteria
Description: partial 16S ribosomal RNA
Rfam family: Archaeal small subunit ribosomal RNA
Source: RNAcentral
CAGCACCUCAAGUGGUCAGGAUGAUUAUUGGGCCUAAAGCAUCCGUAGCCGGCUUUGUUAGUUUUCGGUUAAAUCCAUGUGCUCAACGCAUGGGCUGCCGAAAAUACUGCAUGGCUAGGGAGUGGGAGAGGUAGACGGUACUCAGUAGGAAGGGGUAAAAUCCUUUACUCUAUUAUGACCACCUGUGGCGAAGGCGGUCUACCAGAACACGUUCGACGGUCAGGGAUGAAAGCUGGGGGAGCAAACCGGAUUAGA